GAUGGGGAAACUGUGGAUGGUUUAUGACAAAGACUUGUAGGGACUCCUACAAGCCUCAUUUCAAUGUAUUCUGAGUGAACUGGAACUGCACCCGCAAUAUUUCCAAGGUAUCCUUCUACCUCCUAUCCAACAUUAGAAUCCCCAGUCCCACACUCCCAGGGGGUCUCUCAGUUACACAGGACAAGAGAUGAGAAAAAGGGUGCCAUCCAGAAUUCCAGACACUACGCCUGGUUCUUUCUAUGCUCCUGGCUGCCACCUGUUGGAAAUGGUAAUGCUUGCAUAAGAAGCUAAACCCCCUGAAGUCAGUGAUUGUCAUCAGAAAACAGAUACAGCUAGAUCAGCAGAUGCAUGUGAUCAUCCUGUUACAGCGGAUAGAGUUCUGGGCCUGGAAUCAGGAAGACUGCGGUUUUAAUCCUGCAUCUAAUACUCAGUAGCUCUGUGGCCAUAGGUUCAUGAAACCUAGAAAUCCCAAGUUAAGAAUGCCUGCUCUAAAACUUUAUGUUGUAGAAAAAAUACUUCUCUGCAUUGGUGGAGGGAAUUUCUUCACUUAGGUAAUGUACUAGUGAGAUCACAUCUCCAUUCUCCACCCCCUCCAAUGCUAAGUAUUGUGCUCCCCUAAAGUCCUACUCUGAUGCUUCAUAAUGACACUGAGAUCUCAAUUUCCUCAUUUGUAAAUCAAAGAGUUUAAAUUAGGUGACUUGUAAAGUUCCUUCCUGCUCUACA
This is a non-coding RNA of Phascolarctos cinereus (koala), 723 nucleotides long. NCBI's taxonomy places the organism in Eukaryota, Metazoa, Chordata, Mammalia, Diprotodontia, Phascolarctidae. The record is from RefSeq and is a predicted model, not a curated record.